AAAAAACUUUGUAUGGACUUGGAACCUUUGCGUACGUUUGCCGCUAGGGGCGCUGUUCCAACUGCAUACAAUUAAGAGUUA
RNAcentral lists this microRNA precursor (81 nucleotides) under Bombyx mori (domestic silkworm). RNAcentral's name for it is "mir-2807 microRNA precursor family". It matches the Rfam family "mir-2807 microRNA precursor family". The record is from Rfam by way of RNAcentral. Lineage: Eukaryota; Metazoa; Arthropoda; Insecta; Lepidoptera; Bombycidae.